This 496-nucleotide ribosomal RNA is filed under the name uncultured bacterium. RNAcentral's name for it is "partial 16S ribosomal RNA". It matches the Rfam family "Bacterial small subunit ribosomal RNA", at positions 28 to 507 of the family's 1533-position model. The record is from RNAcentral.
GAUGAACGCUGGCGGCGUGCCUAAUACAUGCCAGUCGAGCGAACAGACGAGGAGCUUGCUCCCUGACGUUAGCGGCGGACGGGUGAGUAACACGUGGAUAACCUACCUAUAAGACUGGGAUAACUUCGGGAAACCGGAGCUAAUACCGGAUAAUAUAUUGAACCGCAUGGUUCAAUAGUGAAAGACGGUUUUGCUGUCACUUAUAGAUGGAUCCGCGCCGCAUUAGCUAGUUGGUAAGGUAACGGCUUACCAAGGCAACGAUGCGUAGCCGACCUGAGAGGGUGAUCGGCCACACUGGAACUGAGACACGGUCCAGACUCCUACGGGAGGCAGCAGUAGGGAAUCUUCCGCAAUGGGCGAAAGCCUGACGGAGCAACGCCGCGUGAGUGAUGAAGGUCUUCGGAUCGUAAAACUCUGUUAUUAGGGAAGAACAAAUGUGUAAGUAACUAUGCACGUCUUGACGGUACCUAAUCAGAAAGCCACGGCUAACUACGUG